UACGGGGGGGGCAAGCGUUGUUCGGAAUUACUGGGCGUAAAGGGCUCGUAGGCGGCCAACUAAGUCGGAUGUGAAAUCCCCAGGCUUAACCUGGGAACUGCAUCCGAUACUGGAUGGCUUGAAUCCGGGAGAGGGAUGCGGAAUUCCAGGUGUAGCGGUGAAAUGCGUAGAUAUCUGGAGGAACACCGGUGGCGAAGGCGGCACCCUGGACCGGCAUUGACGCUGAGGAGCGAAAGCCAGGGGAGCAAACGGG
Molecule: ribosomal RNA, 253 nt
Filed under: uncultured bacterium
Lineage: Bacteria
Description: partial 16S ribosomal RNA
Rfam family: Bacterial small subunit ribosomal RNA
Source: RNAcentral